GUGCCUACCUCAGUAGCACAUAUACUAAAAUUGGAAUGAUAUAGAGAAGAUUAGCAUGUCCUCUGUGUAAGUAUGAUAUUCAAAUUCAUGAUGAAGUGGGAAACUUCU
Molecule: small nuclear RNA, 108 nt
Filed under: Procavia capensis (Cape rock hyrax)
Lineage: Eukaryota; Metazoa; Chordata; Mammalia; Hyracoidea; Procaviidae
Source: RNAcentral